GAUGAACGCUGGCGGCGUGCCUAAUACAUGCAAGUAGAACGCUGAAGCUUGGUGCUUGCACCGAGCGGAUGAGUUGCGAACGGGUGAGUAACGCGUAGGUAACCUGCCUGGUAGCGGGGGAUAACUAUUGGAAACGAUAGCUAAUACCGCAUAACAGUAGAUAUUGCAUGAUAUCUGCUUGAAAGGUGCAAAUGCAUCACUACCAGAUGGACCUGCGUUGUAUUAGCUAGUUGGUGAGGUAACGGCUCACCAAGGCGACGAUACAUAGCCGACCUGAGAGGGUGAUCGGCCACACUGGGACUGAGACACGGCCCAGACUCCUACGGGAGGCAGCAGUAGGGAAUCUUCGGCAAUGGGGGGAACCCUGACCGAGCAACGCCGCGUGAGUGAAGAAGGUGUUCGGAUCGUAAAGCUCUGUUGUAAGAGAAGAACGAGUGUGAGAGUGGAAAGUUCACACUGUGACGGUAUCUUACCAGAAAGGGACGGCUAACUACGU
RNAcentral lists this ribosomal RNA (496 nucleotides) under uncultured bacterium. Its description in RNAcentral is "partial 16S ribosomal RNA". It matches the Rfam family "Bacterial small subunit ribosomal RNA", at positions 28 to 506 of the family's 1533-position model. The record is from RNAcentral.